Long non-coding RNA from Felis catus (domestic cat), 1333 nucleotides. RefSeq lists it as uncharacterized. NCBI's taxonomy places the organism in Eukaryota, Metazoa, Chordata, Mammalia, Carnivora, Felidae. The record is from RefSeq and is a predicted model, not a curated record. The transcript is spliced from 5 exons.
CUCUCUGUCCCCCAAAAAAUAAAUAAACGUUGAAAAAAAAAUUUUUUUUUUAAAUUGAGCCAGGUGAUCUGCUCCAAAAUAUAUCAGUUCCCAUUGAAAGCAUGUAGACAUGAACUCUUUCUACUCCUAAAGCCACUCCCACCCCUCCACACAGGCCCCGAUGCUUCCAGGAACCCCCUUCCAAGUACCUCAAGCCACCUUUAAAUGUCCAAAGACUGUCCCCCCACCAAGUCUACCCCUCCAUGUCCCAUAAACCUCAGAUGCUAUCUUGGGGUCACGCGGGAUGGGCUUUUGAUUUCUAUAAUACUUUAAUUUCUUCAAGGUGAGCAAAGGUUAUGUUUCUAAAAAAGAUAUUUCCAUUUUCAGAGGAAAAAGAAAGUGUGAAAAGACCCACUUUGCUUAACUUUGCACUUUUGCUUUAAAUCCUAAUGAGUCAUUGAAAAUCCCCUUGAUUGCUAUCUCCAGGCUUCAGAGGUCACCAGAAUUAAAGUACUGAAAUUAAUUUGGAAAGUGAAAAGCAUCAGCCUCCCCUAAUCUGACCCCAUUUAGCCAGUCUGGGCUGUACUGGUAGGAGGAGGGAGGAGGACCUGGAUAGAAAAAAGAAAAAAACAUUGCAAUGCUAACACCUCGCCACCUGCUACCGGAGGAAGAGCUGGAGUCCUUAAGCAUGGCGGGGAAGCCCAAGCUUCACUACUUCAAUGGCCAAGGCAGAAUGGAGUCCAUCCGGUGGCUCUUGGCUGCAGCAGGGGUAGAGUUUGAAGAAGAACUUUUUGAAGCACGUGAAGAAUUUGAGAAAUUAAUCCAAGGAUUGACAUGUAUGUAGAGGCCUUCAAGGAUCUGAGUGACAUGAUUAUGUUCUUUCCACUCUCUCUGCCUGGAGUGAAGGCUAUGAAUCUUGAAUACAUCCUUGAAAGAGCCACUACAAGAUUCUUCCCUGUCUAUGAGAAGGAGUUCAAGGCCAGAAUCAGCUGCAUUCCCACAAUUCACAAAUUUCUCCAGCCUGGAAGCCAAAGGAAGCCUCCACUAGAUGAAGGCUCCAUUGAGACCGUGAAGAACAUAUUCAAAUUUGAACGUGGCAUGUUUCUUAAAAACAUGGGUACUAUAGUAGCCGAGUAUUAACAAACGAAGAGGUCUAAAGGCCUCGGCACAUCUCACUUCACAUUUGUAGCAGUGCCCACAAAGGUAUCAUAAGGUCACUUUGAUAAAGAUAAGCAAAAGGAAAUAAACUACCUAAUACUGGCCUGUAAAUCAGACAACACUUUUUCUGUUUUUUAUAAAACAGUAAAACACCAAUCCAUCAGAAUCAUCCAAAUAAAGAUUCUUCUGCAUUCUA